RNAcentral lists this unclassified non-coding RNA (215 nucleotides) under Hevea brasiliensis (rubber tree). Lineage: Eukaryota; Viridiplantae; Streptophyta; Magnoliopsida; Malpighiales; Euphorbiaceae. The record is from RNAcentral.
AAUCUCUACUUGCAUCAACUGCUAACCUCAUUACACUGGAUGACAUAAUUCUUAAGUUAUAAAUCCAAUUCAAAGUAUCAGACCGCAAUGUUUCUAAGUAAGGCAAGUUAUAGUUUAGAAUAUUAAUCAUUAUCAACAAAAUUACUUGUAAACAGCCAUUUCUUGCCACUAUUAACACCUAUUGGUGAUGCAGAUCUGUUAUCUUUCCAGUCAAG